CAAGUUUGCGGAAACACAUUUUGAAAAUUCGUAUUAAACAGGAGAAAAUUACAUACCAUUUUAAUAAUAUGAAAGGGCUAUGCAGAGCUGUUAUAUUGAGGUGUAUACGAUGUGGGCCUACAUAGACAUGGUUUGUCAUAAGCCAUUACCAUAUUCAAAUUCGUAACUUGAAAUAAACGGUGAAUAAUGUUGCCGUUAUAUCGGAGCUGUGCGAAGACCUGGACCUGCAUAGACAAUUUUCCGUCACAGGCUGUAGCAUCCAUUUCGAACUUCAAAUACCACACCUCAAACAAUUUCGGUAAUGUCUACUACCUCUUAAUACGACUUUGUACUUCGAACAUAAUGGAAUAGGUAAGGACAUUUCCAAAGGAGUGACGUUUUCUAAAAGCCACCUGUUUAAGUUGGCCUUCAACUUCCCGAGUCCAGCCAAUCACGGAUGCUGAUUGACACAAUGGGUAUCUCCUCGGCAAACUUCCUUCGGAGGAGAACGUAGAGCGCAGAUGCCACCGGGCGGUGGUUGUUGUUGGUUAGCUCACUUUGAUACAUACGAGACUCUGCUUUCAUUGGAAAUAAUUGUAAAUGUAGUAGUAGUAACCGACAAUGAUCCUCGGCGAUCACUGCGAUCCUCUACGAUUGCAAGAACCUCUGCGUUCACUUGUCGUUUAGUUGUUGAAGUGUACUUUUCUCGCGCUCUAACACCUCGUUCACGGUUAUACUAAGCAGGCCUCUGACGCCGUCCCAAAUUA
This is a long non-coding RNA of Musca domestica (house fly), 746 nucleotides long. RefSeq lists it as uncharacterized. The record is from RefSeq and is a predicted model, not a curated record. The transcript is spliced from 3 exons. NCBI's taxonomy places the organism in Eukaryota, Metazoa, Arthropoda, Insecta, Diptera, Muscidae.